UCGGUAAUUCCAGCUCCAAUAGCAUAUAUUAAAGUUGUUGCAGUUAAAACGCUCGUAGUCGAGUACGGCUCUGUCGGUUGAUCGUGCAGCUUGCUGUUAUUGAUGCUGACUGAGCUUUGCGUCGCACCAGCGUCUUUUGAUGUUGGUGCAAUGCCACUUUGAAUAUAUCAAAGUGUUCAAGGCAAUUUGUUUGAUUGCUCAAGCAUGGAAUACAGAAUUGGCGUUUGCUGGUUCUAUGGUUCUACAAGCAUGUGCAAUGAUUGAGAUGAACGGUUGGGGGGAUACGCAUUUGGCUGUUAGAGGUGAAAUUCUUGGAUCAGUCAAAGGCGAACUGAUGCGAAAGCGUUUCUCAAGAACGUUUUUAUUGAUCAAGAACGAAGGUUAAGGGAUCGAAGACGAUCAGAUACCGUCGUAGUCUUAACGGUAAACUAUGCCGUCCAAAGACCGGGUCUUCGCGUAGAGAUUACUCGGGAUUUCGAGAGAAAUCAGAGAUUUUGGGUUCUGGGGGAAGUAUGUGCGCAAGCCGGAAACUUAAAGGAAUUGACGGAAGGGCACCACAAGGAGUGGAACAUGCGGCUUAAUUUGACUCAACACGGGGAACCUUACCAGGGCAAGACAUAGGAAGGAUUGACAGGAUGAUAGUUCUUUCUUGAUUCUAUGGGUGGUGGUGCAUGGCCGAUUCUAGUUGGUGGAGUGAUUUGUCUGGUUGAUUCCGUUAACGAACGAGACCUUUUCUCCCAAAUUGCUAUGGCCUAUGUUCAUAGGUCUUAGUAACUUGGAGUACAACAUGCAGAAAGCAUGGGGAAGAUGACGGCGAAAUCAGGUCUGUGAUGCCCCUAGAUGUUCUGGGCCGCACGCGUGUUACAAUGGCGUUCUCAGAUAGCAUUACACUCCUCUUAGAAAGGGAAAGGUAUCUUUCAAUGGAAACGCCAAACUUGGGAUUGGCUAUUGGAAAUUGUUGGGCCGUGAACGAGGAAUUCCUUGUGAUUGCAGAUCAAUCAGUCUGCGAAUGAAUACGUCCUUGCCCCUUUUGUACACCACCCGG
Molecule: ribosomal RNA, 1045 nt
Filed under: Eukaryota sp.
Lineage: Eukaryota
Description: SSU rRNA
Rfam family: Eukaryotic small subunit ribosomal RNA
Source: RNAcentral